Molecule: long non-coding RNA, 731 nt
Organism: Stegodyphus dumicola
Lineage: Eukaryota; Metazoa; Arthropoda; Arachnida; Araneae; Eresidae
Source: RefSeq, a predicted model, not a curated record
CCUAUCCACUUUUUUCUUGUCUAUUUCUUUUAUAUACAUUUAGAUAUUAAGAGUGAGGAGUUGGUCUUUUUCCCACGACUCCGGGAAAAUGGCAGAUGCUGCAGCGGCAUCUUGGGAGUACGUUUCUGGAAUGGUAAUGGGGAUUGUUUCUUGCGCUGGACUCCACCAGUAGCCGAGUGUUAAGACCGCUGAACAGUUGGAAUUCGACACGGAUUCGAUCCUGGGUGAACGAGCUGGCUGCGUGGUUGAUUUUCGUCGUUUUCCCCAUGUGCAAAGUAAAUACGAGACAGUUCCCAGACCCCCGGCAUGUGUAAUGUGAAUACGAGACAGUUCUCAGACCUUCACCUGAGGCAAAGCGUAAUAUAGUUAAAUACGCGCCCCUAUAUAGAGUAAAAUUAACCAUUAUAUUCAUCAAAGGCCUUCCGGUUUGUGAAGAUAUCUUAUUUUAAAAGAUUCGAGGAUUUUUGACUGAUUUACAAGCAUUUUAGGAUUUCAAGUGUACUCAGGAGCUCAUUUGCAUACGAUCUUGAAGUUUUGGCCUGCAUUACUUUACACCGAUCUGGUAAAGUACUUUUGCUUUGAUAUUUUGUUUCUUCACACCUUGUACUAUCUGCAUAGUGAAUUUGAUUCAUUUUCAAGGCCUUUUUUUAAAAUUAUUUGUAUUUUAAAUUUUGAGUUACGUUUUGUUUGGGUUUGAGCCUUGUGAUUUUGCACCACGGGCAUGUCAACUU